This 495-nucleotide ribosomal RNA is filed under the name uncultured bacterium. Its description in RNAcentral is "partial 16S ribosomal RNA". It matches the Rfam family "Bacterial small subunit ribosomal RNA", at positions 28 to 507 of the family's 1533-position model. The record is from RNAcentral.
GACGAACGCUGGCGGCGUGCCUAAUACAUGCAAGUAGAACGCUGAAGGAGGAGCUUGCUUCUCUGGAUGAGUUGCGAACGGGUGAGUAACGCGUAGGUAACCUGCCUGGUAGCGGGGGAUAACUAUUGGAAACGAUAGCUAAUACCGCAUAAGAGUAGAUGUUGCAUGAUAUUUGCUUAAAAGGUGCAAUUGCAUCACUACCAGAUGGACCUGCGUUGUAUUAGCUAGUAGGUGGGGUAACGGCUCACCAAGGCGAAGAUACAUAGCCGACCUGGGAGGGGGGUCGGCCCCACUGGGAAUGGGACCCGGCCCCAGCUCCUGCGGGAGGCCGCCGUAGGGAAACUUCGGCCAUGGGCGGAAGUCUGACCGGGCAACGCCGCGUGAGUGAAGAAGGUUUUCGGGUCGUAAAGCUCCGUUGUAAGAGGAGAACGAAUGUGGGAGUGGAAAGUUCACACUGUGACGGUAUCUUACCAGAAAGGGACGGCUAACUACGUG